AUCGCUUCUCGGCUCUUUGAGCUAAGAUCAAAAGUGUAGUAUCUGUUCUUAUCAGCUUAAUAUCUGGUACAGUCCCCAUAGGGGACUCAGUAUAUUAACCUGAUUUUUGAAACGAGGUGGGUGUUUACGGGGCUUGCUCCGUCCCCACUACGGGUCGACCCGAUAUUGCAGUAAUUUCGGGUCUGGCCUUAUAAAU
Pogonomyrmex barbatus (red harvester ant) is the source of this 196-nucleotide small nuclear RNA. RefSeq annotates it as U2 spliceosomal RNA. The record is from RefSeq and is a predicted model, not a curated record. Lineage: Eukaryota; Metazoa; Arthropoda; Insecta; Hymenoptera; Formicidae.